GGAACUGAAACAUCUAAGUACCCAGAGGAAAGGACAUCAAACGAGACUCCGCUAGUAGUGGCGAGCGAACGCGGACCAGGCCAGUGGCUUAUGUGAGUAAAGUGGAACAAUCUGGAAAGGUUGGCUAAAGUGGGUGAUAGCCCCGUACACGUAGAACGAUCAUAAGUCCUUGAGUAGGGCGGGACACGUGAAAUCCUGUCUGAACAUGGGUCGACCACGAUCCAAGCCUAAGUACUCGUGCAUGACCGAUAGCGAACCAGUACCGUGAGGGAAAG
This 275-nucleotide ribosomal RNA is filed under the name Burkholderia multivorans. Its description in RNAcentral is "partial 23S ribosomal RNA". It matches the Rfam family "Bacterial large subunit ribosomal RNA", at positions 189 to 513 of the family's 2925-position model. Lineage: Bacteria; Pseudomonadati; Pseudomonadota; Betaproteobacteria; Burkholderiales; Burkholderiaceae. The record is from RNAcentral.